RNAcentral lists this small nucleolar RNA (63 nucleotides) under Euglena gracilis. RNAcentral's name for it is "Eg-p18 AGAUGN box pseudouridylation-guide". The record is from RNAcentral. Lineage: Eukaryota; Euglenozoa; Euglenophyceae; Euglenales; Euglenaceae.
GUGCUGUGAUCUGAUGCCUGUGCCGGUGCCUUCUCUGGCACGGGUUCUUUCCCACAGCAAGAU